This 23186-nucleotide long non-coding RNA is filed under the name Vitis vinifera (wine grape). Its description in RNAcentral is "long non-coding RNA (VVIN_LNC001392)". Lineage: Eukaryota; Viridiplantae; Streptophyta; Magnoliopsida; Vitales; Vitaceae. The record is from RNAcentral.
ACUAUUAUUGGCGGUAGAGUUGGUGGCUUGGGCGUUGGCGGUGGUCUCACUACUCUUGGGGGUAGAGUUGGUGUCUUGUGUUUUGGUGGUGGAGGUGGCUUAACAGGAGUUGGUGGCUUGUAUUCUGGGGGUGGUUUCUCCACCGGAGGUGGCUUAUAAACUGGAGUUGGUGGCUUGUAUUCUGGGGGUGGCUUCUCCACUGGUGGUGGCCUGUAAACAGGGGUUGGUGGCUUAUAUUCUGGGGGAGGCUUCUCCACUGGAGGCGACUUAUAAACAGGGGUUGGUGGCUUGUAUUCCGGGGGUGGCUUCUCUACGGGAGGUGGCCUGUAAACAGGGGUUGGUGGCUUCUCCACCGGAGGUGGCUUAUAAACGGGGGUUGGUGGCUUGUAUUCUGGGGGUGGUUUCCCCAGUGGUGGAGACUUGUAAACAGGAAGAGGUGGUUUGUGCUCAUAUGGGGGUGGCUUGUGGUCAUUAGCAAGUGAGGGAGUGGUGAGGACCACCAAUCCAAGGAACAACACGAGUGAGCAAGCAGAAGACAUGUUUGGGCUCUGGUGAUGCACAAGUAGAAGAAAUGGGAACCAUUUAUAAUGCUUCGAGACCUUGGUUAGCACCAAAAUAUGUCAAAAUCUUGAUUACUUCAUUUCAUACAUAGAUUUAAAAUUAUUUCAAUCAACCAUGAUCCUUAAUUUUCUGGGUGGUCCAUAAAUGUAAUGGGGUCAAUUUGGGACCUAACAAGCUGAGAAGUUUGACAAUGCUGCAAGGCUUCAUCCGAAAGUCCGGGGAAGAAUAUUAGGAGUUACACUCCGUUUCCUUUUUUGGGUGCAUUUUUCUCCUUUAACAUUCUAUUCCCUUUUACAUUAGCAUUUGAUCUUAGCUCAUUUCAAGUACAAGUUUCUUGAACCCUAUACCAUUGUCAAAGUUGAGUAACCAUCUCUACUUUGCUCAAGAAACAUAAAAGACAAUGACAAUAAAGAAAAAGGAGAGAGACCAUACGUGACUUGGUUUAUAGGUGGCUUUGUGUUGACAUUUGAGUAUGGAAGCCGACAUGCAUCUUAGCUUCGAUUUUAAUUAAAUUUGUACAUUAGUGUCUGUGUCAUUCAUUUUGGUAUAAAAGGUCUCUUGAUUUCGUAAGUUUGGUAAGAACCGUUGAAAAUAGCAGUAGCAGCACAUGGUCCACUUUCUUUCACAAAAUAAUUUUAAAAGUUUAGAAGCAUAGGAGGUAACAUUAGUGGCCUUGUGGCUCAGCCACGAGUACUAUGUGGUGCUCGAGAAAUUGAGUUUAAUUUCCUUCCGAUAGUUCAUGAUAAGGUCCGUCACUGUCCUGAGACAGAUUGCGUUUUUUCUUUUUUCCUUUUUUAGUGUUUUAUUGACUAGCUAGGUGUGACUUUUCCUACUUUAAGGCACGAGGCAGAAAAGAAACUGGGAUUUAGUGCUUAAGAAGGCAAAUUUAAUUCGAUUUGGAUCUAAAAUUUGCCAGCAACAUGAGAUUUUCCAGCCUAUCGUUGCUCCACAUAUAGACAAGGCACUUGUAGAAGUGGCUUGUUUGUAGCCAUUCCCGAUAUUUGGACUCACUUGAUUCACCGGACACUUUGAUAAAAUUUAAUAUUUAUUAUUUAAUAAUUUAAAUUGAUUUAAAAUUAAAUUAUACCGAAGUUGUGAUUUAAAAAUUAUUAUUUAAUUCUUACUUUUAAAUAUGAAGAUUAUUUGAUAAAAAUAAUUUAAAAUUUAUUAUAAAUUAUCAAAUUAACAUAUUUAUCCUUAUAAAUUAUAAUUAAAACAGAAAAGGUCAAAUGAUUUGAGUAUCCAUAGAUGUGGUAAAAUAAUAAAAAAGAUUAUAAAAACAAUUAUGAUAAAUAAAGAUAAAAAGUAAAAUGAAUAUGUGAAUUUAAAGAAUAAAUUAAUUAUUUUUAUUUAUUACUUAAAAUUAUUUUUGACUUUAAAUUAUAUUAUUAAAUUAUUUUACCAAACAUACUUAAUUUAGUUAAUAAUUUAAAUUUAAUUUAAGUUAUUAAAUUGAUUCACCAAAUACCCACUUAAUCAAAGACUGAAGUAUACAUUAUUUGGCCAAAUGCAGCUAUUGAAAUUUAACUUUUUCCAAACUUAUUCAUUUUGUGGAAAUAUUUUUAGAAAUGAUUUUAAAAAUGCACUAUUCUGUGUGUUGAUUUUAUAUUUUGGCAUUAAUCCAACAUAGAAAACGGUUCUUAUUUUCGCUGUUAAAUAGGUACCAGAUCCUUAAUUAGUGCCGUGAAUCCGGCAGCUUCCAAUGAGUAAUUUGGACUUGGGUAUUGACAAUGUGUGGCCAUGCUUCUACUAUUUUAUUAUUCUUGAAACAUAUAUGAUAUAUUGGACUUUAUACAGGGAAAAAAAAAAAAAAAAGUCUUCACCAAAAAUGAUUCCUCCUAAAAAAUAGACUCCACAAACUAGGUUUAACAGGAAAAUGAUUCUAAUCUAGUAGUUUCCAGCCACAUGAGCAUUUACGUAACAAUAGUAUAGUUGAUAACGACUUUUAUUUUAUUUAUUUUUAAAUAGUUAAAGGGAUAAUUUUUGAGCUUAAAUUUUAUUUUUUUAUUUAGAAACAUUUUACUUUAUUUUUUAAUCAUAAUUCUAUUAUAUUAAUGUUUUAUUUUCUAUUUUUUAAUAUAUAAGGAGAUACUAAAUUUAUGUGAUUAUUUUUUAAAAAUUUAGUAUAUGAAAUUAAAUAAUUGGAUAUAUAUACAUAUAUCAUAUAAUGUUUUUUAAGUGUGAUUUUUGAACUUUUUAGUCAUUUUAUAAGUUUAAGCUUUUGAUUUUUUUUUUUAAACUUUGGUAUUUUUUAUUUUAUAUAAAACUAUUUUGAUUUAAUUUUAUUAAAAAAUAUUGGUAUUAUAAAUUAUUGUAUUAAUUAUUUUUUUAUAUUAUAAUGUAACUGGUAUAUACUAAAAAAUGUAUGCAAGUUCAAUUUAAGUUUCAAAUUAAAAAAUUUCAUUUAAAUAUUUAAUAACUUGUUCAUAAUAAAAAAUUAAACAACAUAAUACAAAUGAAAAGAAACAUAAAAGAAAAAGGAAAAAAUGGUCCUCUCUGUGUGUCACAUUACUAGGUCAUCCUCUUUUUCUAUGACCCUUACAAUAGAAUGGCAUAUUUGUCAAAUCUACUUAUGAAAGUUGGAAUGUUUCUACAUGUGUAGGGUCCAUUGGAACUAAUGGAGGAAAGGCUUAACGUCUAUGUAAAUCACAACGUUGCCUAGGUGGGCAUAGAUCUAGUUGUGUAACAUGAGAUGGUGUGAGAGUACAAUAUAUGCAUUGUAGUCUCUAUGGGAAGAGAGAUAGGUAAUGGUAGGGUGGUAGACGGUAGGGUGAUCUCUAAUAUAAUGACAUUUGAUGUGGUGGCUUCUAAGAGAGGAGAUAUAAGAGAUGGUAGAAUGACAUUUGGUGUAAUGGUCUCUAGUGCAAUGACAUGUGAUAUGGUGACCUAUAAAGAAGAGAUAUAGGUGAUGGUGAAGUGGUAUGUGGUGUAGUGACCUUUGAGAUAGAAAAUAGAGGUAAUGGUAGGUUGGCAGGUGGAGUGGUCUUUGGUGUAGUGACAUCAAUUAUAAAUGUCUCCAAGGGAGGAAAUAAAGGUGAUGGUAGGUAGUAAAUGUUGAGGUGGUCUUUGAUAUGUUAUGCUCUAAGAGAGAAGGUAUAGGUAAUGAUAAUAGGGAAUUUGACAUAGUGGUGUUGGAAAUAAAAAGUGAAAGUGACCGUAGAGGUGAAAGGGCAAGUGUAAAAGCCUCAAGUACGAAUGGAGUAAUUAAUGUGGAUGGUGCUAACAUAGUCUUAGGUGGAUACACAAAUAGUCAUAGUCAUCAACUAGCUUGCCCACCAUCUGUCUUUCUGCUAGUGAUAGGUUACAUCUUAAUAGUAAUGGCCAACAUAAGUGGUGUGGAUCCGAUUUUUUUACGUGUGUCCCCACUCAAUCGACAAGACUUAUUUUUUAUUAGUGAAAAAUUAAUUUUGGAAAAGUUGGAGUCACCACUUAUUUUAUUUUAUUUUAAAAAGGAAAGUAAAACAAGAAAGAGAACUCUAAAGAAGUGACUUCAUAGUUUUGGAAAAGUUAGUCUUAAAAAAUCCAAGUCUUGGUCCGGAGAUCAGGUUACUUAUUGGGAAGAUACCUCUAAGAGGUAAUACCCCUCUAAACCCUAAAGAAGUCUCUAAUGACUAAGUUGAGGAGAAUGUGGUAAUUAAUUAAUUGAUUGAGGGUACCUAGGUAGACUAAGGUGAUUUCAGAAUUAACAUACCAAGCUAGAAAGUCCAAUCAUGAUCAUAAAAGAGAGUCAAAGUAUGUACCUGAACUGCUUCUCAAACGCUAUCAUAAAACAUCAAAGUUAGUAUAGAAAUAUAACACAUAAUAUUUGUUUUAUCCAAGCAAAUAAAGCAUACAUCUAAGCACCCAAGAAUCACAUCAAGUAUGGAUAUAGUCAUCAAUAGCAUACGUGUCCAUAGAACUAUCGAAAGUAAAUGUGGAGGAGCGUAUCUGGACAACAUAGAUAACUUAUAAUGUGCUUCCACAAGACAUGGGGGUUAGAUAAAAGUUAUAAUAAUAAUUAGUAAAUGAAAGAAUUCUAGCAUGUUUGGUAUCUAAAUAACAUAGCAAAAAUGAACAAGAGUACACGAAAACAUCAAUUAUCACACGAGUCAUAUUGGCUAGUAUUUAAUCAAUAAACCAACAAUAAAUGACUAUAAACAUAUAAAAUGACAUAUUCAAAGAGACCCAAACAUAAAGAGCCUAGAACACAAGCUUACACUAAAUUUAGAAAACUAAAACAUGGAAUUUUAAAAGCAUAAAUUAGCAAACAAAUUGAUGGAAACUAAAUUUAGAUAACUUAAGAAUAUUUUUCUUAUCCUUCAAUUUAAAUCAGUAAGCCAACAAUAAAAAAUUAUAGAAACAUGGAAUAUCAAGAUCAAUGGGAUACCUAAACUAUAAUUUUUAAAAGAAAAUAAACUAAGCAUAAUAUCUACAAAGCAACUAAACUAACAUUUUUUUAAAAAUAAAUUAAACAUGACAUUAAUGGAGUAACCAAACUAAAUUAAAGUAAACUAAAAACAUUUAUGAAUUUUCAAACAUGGAAUCAGCUUUCUUAGUAAAUUAAAAUUAUUAAAAUAAAAUCUAAGCUUAAAAAUGAAUUAAAUACUAACUAAAGCAAAUCUAAAACCAAAUAUUUAACACAUAGGAUCAAUUAUAUUAACAAACUAAAAUUUUAUAAGAACACUUAAACCUAAAGUUGAAUUAAAAACUAACCAAUUUUUAAAACUAGAUCUUUAACCCAUAGGAUCAAUUAUAUUAACAAAUAAAUAAUAAAUAAUAAAUAAAUAAAACUCAAACCUAAAGAUGAACUAGAAAUGUACCAAAGUAAAUUCAAAACAAGAUCUUUAACACAUUAGAUCAAUUAUAUUGACUAACUAAAAAAAAAAAAAAAAAACACUCAAACCUGAAACGAUGUAUUAGAAACUAACCAAAGCAAAUUUAAAAUAGAGUCUUUAACACAUAGGAUCAAUUAUAAUCACUAACUUAAAUUACAAUUUUUGAAACAUGAACUAAUUAGUGUUGGAUUAAUUAAACUAAUUAACUAAAAAAAACUAUAAACUAGAAUACGGUGAAUCAAGAAUUCAAAUCAACAAACAUAAAAUAUGGGUACAAUGAAAUGAAAAUCUAUUAAACUAAUAAGACGGAAAUAUGACAAACUCAUGAACCCACAUUUUGAUCAACUAGGAAAUAGAAAUUAAUAGACCUGUAGCAUGGAUACAAUGAAAUGAGAUCAGUUAAAUUUAUUUGCCGAAAUUCUAAAAAACACAUACACUCAAAUAAGAUCUAAAUCUAAGACCAAGCAAAACUCAAACUUUCUCAAUCUAAUGCAAUGAAUCAAAACUAAAAUUAAAUAGAAAUCAAACCAUUUUUUUUUUAUCUAAUAUAAUAAAUCAAAGCUAAAACUAAACAAAAUCGAAUUUUCUUAAUUUAAUAUGAUGAGUCAAAGCUAAAAUUGAACAAAGUUCAAACCUUUAUAUAAUGGAUCAAAGUUAAAUCUAAAUGAAAUCCAUACUUCCACAAUUUGAUAUAACAAAUCAAAAAUAAAACUAGAUAAAAAAAAAGUCAAAGCCUUUCAACUUGACAUAGUGAAUCCAAACUGAAACGAAACAAAAUUUUAACUUUUCCAAUGAAACCCAAUAUAGAAAAAAUUAGCUUACCUUCUUUAGAAUAUAUGUAUGGGCCAUAAAGAAGUCACCUUGGUGCAUGUGUUCCUCACUUUGACGCCAAUGGACGACUUUCUAUGGUAGCAAAUGGAGAUCCUUUUUGGUGGUAACUUGCGUGUGGAAACCUAUGGUACAACCAAUGUCAUCUUUUAUUGUGCGUGUGGACCAAUUUCUUCUCGAGAACUCAUGUGUGUUGUGCUCAAAAUAUGUUGCCUGUGAGAAUCUAUUGGUAUACCCCACAUAUGGUUUCCUUGAGAGAAUCUGUGGUUGUGUGUGGGCGUUUUCUUCAUGACAGCAUGUGGAUGUUCCCAUCUAUGGUAGAUUGGUUGUGAUGCUUUAGUGCAUGGUCUCCAUAGGAAUAGUGUGUUAUGGAAAUUUGGUUUUUUUAUUGGUGCAUGUUGUCUAGACUUUCCCAUAUGCGUGGACUGUGUGUUCAUGCUUUUCUUUUCGGAUGGUCGCCUGUGUUAAUGUGUGGCGGUGUCUACAAUGAAAGAUACAACCCUUUCUCUCCUUCUGCGUGAUAGAAAAGUCAAUCCCCCAUGGUGCGACUAUGUUCCCUCGUCCUUUUUGAAAAAUUUUGGUGUUUUCCCCCCAAAAAAUCCCCUCCAAAAAUCUAAUUAUAAAUGUCUGCUUUGGCCUAAUGUGUGUGCUACUUUUUUUUUCCUUCUUUUUAUGGUUGUGCGUGCUUUUCUUGAUACGUGGCUUAUUUCUUAAGGAUAUGAUUCGCUCCCAAUUGGUGUCUCAGCUGAUUCAUGUCCUUUCAAUGGUCCCUGACAGUGGUGCCAUUUGAUUCGUGUCCAGCUGGUGUCCCUUGAUUGUGGUCCUCAGAAGGGAGUAAUCAAUAAAAUUUAUAACCUAUUACACCAUGUAUUAGGAUAGCCUUAGCUAGCAUAGCAUAGUGGCUCUAGGGUCGUUUAUUGGGAUGAGUUUUCACUUCACAAUUGAUAUUAAUUCAAGAGCUGAAUUGGUGCCUUUUCAUUUCAAGGUUAGCUUUAAAAGAAAACAUAAUCUUUGGUGGAAAAAGGUUUGGUUUUAAACUAACCAAAAAUAGUAACUGAUUUUACUUACAAAGAAAAGUGUUCUUUGGAGUUUAGAUCACUAGGCUCAGGUUCCUCAUACAAAAAGGAGAGUUCCGAUCAUUUGUUUCUUUUCCUCGCAUUAGAGAAUUAACAUAUAGUUAAUUCUCUAACCGGUGCGGUACAUAUGCUUCCCAUUAAUGGGUUCAAACACUAAAUACCUCUCACUGAUGCACCUUGCAAUGGCUCGUGCCUCUCACCUAGCAUUUAUCAUUCAAGGUGAUCUUUAACCUUGGAUUACCCAUCAAAAGCUCGCAAGAGAUAACUAAAGGAUGUCUCCUUAGAGUCCAAAAGCUUACCAAGUGUUGGUUAUUCUAGAAAAUCCUACCUUCAAACCACCUCCCAAAGGCUCGCAAGAGAUAAACAAGUGCAUCUCAAUGGAUGAAGAUCACUUGCCUUACCAAGUUUUGGCCCAGAUGAUUUAAUGACAUUUUAAGUUAACUAAAAAGAUAAAAACCAUUAACGGGUCACACUUUCUCUUCAUUAAAAACUAAAACAACAAAACUUCCAAUUUAUGCAUGAGGAAACUUACCUGGCUUUCUUCACUUCAAGAGAUGAAGAGCCUAGCCACUCAUCAUUUGAGGAAAAAUCCUCAGAGUUUGAUUUGCUAGAAAUAAAAAUAAUGAGAAAACAAAAAUAUAUAUAUGAAAAACAGAGCAAGUUCUCUGUAAUAUAUUUUUCUUCCUUAUACAAAAGGUUGUCUCUAAGAACAAGUUCCCGAGAUCUAUCUGAUUGUAAAUAAAAUUACAACUAUAUAUAAGAGGUUAUUCACCCCUUUGUUCUUUCUUAAAGACUAAGGAAUCCUAUGAUAGGUGGGUUACAAGGAGAGUUUGGGGAUUUAGACAUCAAAUAUCUAAAGCAAAAUAUCUCAAGAUGUUAGUCGGAAAUAUCAGGAAGCUUCAGGAGAACACCGCGACACUGUAUACUGAGAGAAAAACUCUCCGGGUAAGCUCUAUCAAAGGAUCCAGACAUGUCUGACUGGGAAAGUUGAAACGUCCUUCUCUCCCAUCCGGAUGUGAGAUAUCCGGAGAAAGUGAAAUGUCGGUCGGACAGAAUUCUUUCCCCGGGUGGAAUGAGUUGUGUUGCGCGUCGCAAGGGGGACCGUCUGCGUGUACAAGUUGUAGGGACCCCUCUCCCGGAUGACACCGAGCGCGUAAGGCUAUCCGGAUCAACUCCAUUCGGAUUCCCCAAGAGGACAUGUGGCGUGCUCCCCUAUCAGGACUCCCUUAGGGAGAAGCACACGACACUCGUGAACAUCAUACCCGGACGAUAGCAUGUCCUAUCCGGAUGUGUUGUCCGGAUCAUUGACUAAAGUGAGCAAGCCUUGCUACGUCAUUCGGACAGCUUGCCACAUACCAUGUUCCGUCGCCAUCUGAUGGUGUGUCCGAACGCCUUGUCCGGACAUCUUUUGCUCCUUGCAUUCCGGAUUUGCUUAUGACAAAGGACUUCAAAGCUUCGGUUCUUCAUGUUUCUGAGCUUUCCAUUGCUUUGCCAUGGAUUCCAAAGAACUCUCCUUAAUCACGGAUUGCUUUGGUGAUCAAAAAGUUAUCAAAACACAAAAACUUAACAUAGUUUGAUUAGAAUUGAUUGCAAGGGUUCUUAAUAUGUUAAUUGGGUUAAAAGGUGAUAACUACUACUCAAAAGUGUUUAUAAGAAUUAAUUACAAGCUAUGAAAUAACACUUUUUGAGUAGUAAUCAGGAUACAUCCUAGUUUUUCAUGGAAUUGAUAGUGGGUUGUUGUGCAUGAAUGCCACCAUUUCAACUAUGCUGUUGUUAUUUUUAAAAAAAAUAUGGAUUAUGCGCGAGUGGCAAUUCUCCACUAUGGAAAGUGGAUUGCUCCUUCAACCCAUGCAUGGCUACGUAUUCCUAUGUCUUUCUACUUGUGUUUGAUCCUCCAAAAAAAAUUUCGGUUUAGUGCUAGUAGAUUUUAAGUGGUGGAUCCCCAUUUUUUGAAAAUGAAGUGGCAGCCUCCCAUUUCAAGACAAAAUGGUAGCCUGCCUUUAAUCUUUGGAGAAAAAUCUGUGCAUGACCUUUUUUUUUCCCAAAAAAUCCGUGCAUGGUGUCCUUUAAUAUUUGGAGAAAAAUCUAUGUUGGAUCUUUUCUUUUCUAGAAACAUUUGUGUGGUCUUUUUUGUUAGCCCAAGGGUUCUUCUAAUCAAGUUUUGAUGAUAACAAACCAUGGUUAAGUGACUAAUUGGUUUAAUGAUUAAGAAUCUCAAACAUAAAAUCGAAAAUUCAUCAAAGGACCAAAUGGAUACAAGAUCGAGACGCUUGGAAGACUUGUAAUCAUAGGAAACUAAUGUAAGAUGAAUGCAUGAGUGCACUUAGGAUUUUCACACGUUUCAUGCAACUUAGAAAACCCAGUUUAUUCUUUAAAACUUCAUCCCAGUUUAUUCUUUUUAUGGUUGUGUGUGCUUUCCUUGAUACGUGGCUUAUUUAUUAAGGAUACAUCCCAGUUUUUCAUGGAAUUGACAGUGGGUUGUUGUGUGUGAAUGCCACCAUUUCAACUGUGCUGUUGUUAUUUAAAAAAAAAAAAAAUGGAUUGUGCGCGAGUGGCAAUUCUCCACUAUGGAAAGUGGAUUGCUCCUUCAACCCAUGCAUGGCUACGUAUUCCUAUGUCUUUCUGCUUGUGUGUGAUCCUCCAAAAAAAAUUUUGGUUUAGUGCUAGUAGAUUUUAAGUGGUGGAUCCCCUUUUUUUGAAAACUAAGUGGCAGCCUCCCAUUUCAAAACGAAGUGGUAGCCUGCCUUUAGUCUUUGGAGAAAAAUCUGUGCAUGACUUUUUUUUUCCCAAAAAAUCCAUGCAUGGUGUCCUUUAAUAUUUGGAGAAAAAUCUAUGUGGGAUCUUUUAUUUUCUAGAAAAAUUUGUGUGGUCUUUUUUGUUAGCCCAAGGGUUCUCCUAAUCAGGUUUUGAUGAUAACAAAUCAUGGUUAAGUGACUAAUUGGUUUAAUGAUUAAGAAUCUCAAACAUAAACUCGAAAAUUCAUCAAAUGACCAAAUGGAUACAAGAUCGAGACGCUUGGAAGACUUGUGAUCAUAGGAAACUAAUGUAAGAUGAAUGCAUGAGUGCACUUAGGAUUUUCACACGUUUCAUGCAAUUUAGAAAACCCAGUUUAUUCUUUAAAACUUCAAUUUCAUUAAAACCCGAGUUUUUAACUAAUGUACCUUAGGCAAAAUGUUUUAUAAUUGGCUUAAUAAUUCACCUAAAUACAUUUUCUAAGUGUUAGAAAAGAAAGGAAUUAAAAAAAGGUUUUCGGGGCAAAAAAGGCUCAACCGGUCGAGGCUAUGGUCAACCGGCUCAACCGGUUGAGGAACCAAUCGAUCGGUUGUGCUUGUCCGAUCGAAGACCAAUCGAGGGAUGCCAAAAAAUUUCUCUCUCUCCUAGUGGCCUUCUCUUCCCGGUCGAGGUUCGGUCUAGGCAACGGUAACAUGUCAAGCAUUAAAUGCUCCGACGACUAGUGAAUCGGUCGACCCCUAGCCCGAUCGGACGAGGUUGCCUUUUGCUGUUUUUGACUCCCGAGCUUAGAAACCUAUAAAUUGAGAGCUCCACUUCAUUUAUUGAUAAAAGAGAACACUUGCAUUCAAUAGUCUACCUACCUUUUCUUGAUCAAAAAGCUCUCAUUUCCUUCAUAGUGCAUUAAAUCAUCACUUGCAUAUCCUUUAGUGCACUAUUGUGUGUCAUCCUAGCUUUGUUUUGUAUUUGAGCUAUCCUUAAGCUAGGUUGAGGGAUUAUUUCUUAUAAAAAUCUGAGUGUUAAAGCCUUCAAGAGAUUUGAAUCUUGAAGAGAUUGUGUAAGAGCCCAUUGGAGCCGGAGUCCAAGUGUAAGAAGAUUGGAAGCUUGGUUGAAGCUUCAAGUUAGUGGAACCCUCACUCGGUUAGGAGGUUGAGGAGAGUGGACGUAGGUAAGGAAGUGUCGAACCAUUAUAAACCCGAGUUUGAAUUCUCUAACUCUAUCUCUUUAUUUUGCUUAUAUUGUGUUUGAAUUUGUUGUGAUUGAAAAGAUUUUAAAAACCUAAUUCACCCUCCCCCCUUUUGGGUUUUUUUUUCUUAAUUAAGCAUAACCUUUGUUUUCUAAUUUUCUUUUUAGGAAAAUCCAUGCGUGGUAUGUCCAAACUCUCCAAGUGGCAGUCUGCCUUCUUCUAAAAAAUUUGUUUCUAUUUCUUUAUUCGACUACCUUCCAUGUCUUCCUAAUGAGUGCUUGUGCUCAAUGGUCAAUCCCUGGUGGUUGCCUCCUUUUCCCAUAUAUACGUGUUGCAAAAUCAACAUCCCACUAUAUGUGGGUUGCCUCUAUGGCAAGUUCACAUUUCCCACAUGAAACCUAUGAGUUUCCACCAAAAAUUGCCAUGAAAAAGUCUUUAUAUGCAUCUCAUGCAAUAAAAAGUCAAGCCAAUACUCAUCUUAUCUCGAAAAAUAAGUAACCAAAAUCAAGAUCAUGCCUAAGUGAACUAUGCCAAAAGAAGUGUCCAAGUGACCUAUUAUGAAAAAAGUGCCUAAGUGACCUAAGGUGAAUGUGUGUAAGCUGGAAGGUGUCUAGGAUGUUUAGGACAAUGCCUAAGCCUAAAAUAGGGUUGCCAAGGGUCACAAUGGGGUUAGAUAAAUCUCUCAAUCAGAGUCUCCAAGGUGGCUCAUAAAAGAUAAGCUACACGAGUAAUGAUGGGCCACCAGGGAAUUAUUGUAAAGCACCAAACGAACACAUAAUAGGACAUGUGUUAGAAUGAAAAAAUGGAGGGUUUACAAGUGGUCUCAUGGAUGAGCUUGAUAAUUUAAAUGACUCACAUAAUGAACGUAUGUGAUGUUUCUCUCCAAUAACAAGCAAAACAUCACUAGCAAUAUGAUGAAUGUCUCCUAAAUCACUUGAAGUAGUCCUAGCAAAUCAAUUAGAAAAAUCACACAUAUUGCUCUAAUGUAAUAUUAUAUACAUCUGUCAAUGAAUGGGAGAACUAAUGACACAACCAUCAUGUUGAUAUCUCGAACCCUCUAAUCUCAUAUGUAGGUGGGAUCACACUUAGAAACUCAUAACACAGUAAUGACCAAUCUAAGUCAAAAUGUGUUGGUGAUCGGAGGCCCAUGAAUAUGAAGUUCUAGGAUGAUAAUGACAUCUUAUAAAGUAAUGAUCAUCUCCUUAAUAGAUAGGUGAAAUGUGUGUGUCUUAGGACACCAUCUCUCAACAAGACUUGUGAUCAAUCCCCAGUCUAGUGUAACAUGCCUAUUAUGACAUCCAUCGUAAAAUCUAGACUAGAUAAUAUAAGGACAAAUGUGAGGGUUCAUCUCCCUUUCCCACAUAAAUUUAAAAAAUUAUUAUUGACAAGUUAAGACCAAACUAAGUUGCAAAAUAUAAAUAAGUCCAUUAGAUAACAAAUUUAUGUUUUCUCAUUUUCUCAUUUUUAAAGAGAUAUUAUGUGCUUCCAUGUACAUACAUGCUAAAGUCAAUUAUACGAGACUUAUAUCCAUCUUGUAGAACCAAAUCGAACCUAUCUAAUAGAUCCAGAUUAGAAGUAUGUCCUCUAUACUCCAUAUUUAUAACACAUUUAUAAAGAUAAAUGCUAAAAAAAUGUUAAAGAUAUAAAUUUAAUGAACCAUACUUUAUGAUUUUAAUUCUCAAUUAUUGUUCAUAUUUAUAAGAGAAAAGUUAAAAAAAUUGAUAGAGUUUUCCCUCUAUCAUGGACAUUAUCCCAAAUAAAAAUAAAUUGAUUAUGCAAAUUACAUUAAUAUUUGUAACCAAAUGAUCAAUAACUAUCUUGUAUCAAUUUAGUAAAUAAAUUUAAGUAUAUCUUUUCAUUUAUGACUAACAAAUAACUCAUACUUGUCCAAUAAAAGCCACACCUAAUUUCUAAAAUUUUGUCUUCACCUCAAGUGAGUGUUACAUUGAGAAAGAAAAAAUAUGAAAGAAAAAAUGAACACCUUUUUCUUUUAAUAAAAAAAGGCCAUAACGAAACAUUAAAUCUCACUGUUACACCUAUCUUCAAUGGAAACAUGAGGAUGUGAAUGGUGGCGGUGAUAUUCUUUGCUUGAAGCUCAUAAACAAAUAUUCCUUACUAAGCCUAUGCCAUUUAGUAUUUCAAUAGUGGACCCCCCCCCCCCCCCCCCCCCCCUCCUUGCAUUUCAGAUUUAGCAAACUUAGAACCAAAUAACAAAGUGCAUUUGAACCCAUAAAGAAGUAAUGAGACUCUCCUAUAUUGGCAAUAGAAGAAAUUUUUGGAGGUAUAGGAGAUUCACGGAUGAAGAAGUUGGGCCCCAAUUGAGAUAAGACCCAAGAAAAGAUGGGGUAGAGAGGGAUGGUUGGAAAUUGUAAAGUAAGAUUUUCAAAAUGUAGUUGAUGACUAAGAUUUUGACAAUUUAAAAAAGGUUUAAAAAUGUAGUUAGCAAUCGGGGUUUUGUAACAUUUAAAAAAUAAAAUAAAAUCUCAGGCCACAUGGUAGCCCAUGUGAUUCAGAAGCUUGAGAAUUAUUUUAUAAGAAGACUUAAUUUGUGAUUUUUUUAUAACUAUAUUAUUUUUUUUCUUAACACACGAAAAAAAUUAUGAAAUAAGACAAUUUUCCUAAGAAAGCAUGUAAGUGACUCUUGGUUAUUUUAUUUAACUUCUUCUAGUUUGGAGAGGAUUAAUACCUUUGCUUUUACUCACUUGCUUGGAUAUGUACACGUUGUUCAUGUCACUUUUCAUUUAAUUUUCUGAUUAAGGGAAUUGGAACCGUACGUAACUGUCUUUAUUCCCUCUGAAACUUGGACUUGGAGUUGGACUUUCAAUCUCAUCAGUCGUGUUUCCAUAAAAAAGAAGAUGGAUUAACCAAUUUUCCUAUGCCUACUAAUCAUACACAAAACUCCACUUCCAAAUAAAAAGGAAUGGGAUAUCACUUGUUAAUAGUGGCUAAAGACUAUUAAUAACCAUGCAAAGAAAUGUCACAUUUUUUGUUCUACGCAAAUUUUAUUCAUCAACUACUAGAACCAUUUCAUACAAUAGUAGCUUUUCGAUCCUUUGAUAAAUGGACACUUGAUGUGAUAACACCAACUACACCUAUAUAUUCAAGCAAUCAUGCGUAUAUAAUAGUGGAUAUGGAUUACUUCUCUAAAUGGGCAAAAGUUUUGUCAUUCAAGGAAAGUGAACGAGGAAACACAAGUUUACUUUCAUCGGAACUAAUAUUAUAUAUUGAUAUGACUUCCCAUUAUUACUUACGAUGGAAUAUGCUUCCAUAAAAUGGCCUAGAUGAACAAACUAUCCAAGAAGUUUGGGAUCAAAUAAUAUAUAUAUAGUUCAUGUGUGAUUCUUUGGUUGACAACCUUGUUAAGGGGUGAGUGAAGCACUUUGGGCAUACCACAUACUACAUGCUAGACUUCCACCCAAGCUACCCUAUAUUCCUUAUGAACAAAGUAGAAGUUGUCAUCUCUCUUGAAUACCAAAUCCUUUCACCUAAUAAUGCUAUCUAAAAAGGUCUUAAAAAGGAUAAAAAUGCGCAUAUUUGAAUUUUUGAAUUAGGAGUGCUACUUAAAAAGAAGCUAGAUAUACAAUAAUAGAAUGUUAUCAAGCAUAUCUCUUCAAAGUUUUUGACCAAAAAAUAUAUGAUUUCUCAUUUUAGGUAGGAGACUUAGUACUCACUAUUCAAAAACCAAUUAUCAUUACUCAUAAAAACUAAUAGAAAGUUUGGGCCAAAGUAGGAUGGACCUUAUAUUAUGCAACAAUUAUGCCUAUAAAAUUGUUGCAAAAGAGGUUUUAGAAUCAAAUCAAUGAAUGAAAAAUUAUUAAAGCAUUACUAUGCUUGAAGGCUAGUCAUUUUCCCUUAAAGUGCAAUAUUAAGUUGCAUAGUACUAUGUGGAUCCGCAUUUUUCACAUGCGUUCCCACUCAUUGUCGAGACUCACUUUUUAGAAGUGAAAAAUUAGUUUUAUUAAAGUCGAAGUUGCCACUGGGGAUUUGAACCCUAACAAAAGGUUCAAUUUAAGGAUAAAAAUAUCGAUAAUCACAUAUAUAUAUAUUGGUACUUUGAUUUUAUGAAUAUAUUGAAGAAAUAUGGACAAAUAUUUUGACACAAAAUAUGUACAAAAUAAAAAUUAUAUAAAAAGUAAAAAUAAAUAUUUUAAAAUUAUUUUUUUAAAUAUAUAUAUAUAUAAUUUGACAUAUUUGAUAAUAAUAUAUAAGGGUCUCCAAAAAGCCCGUGGCCCGCUUUAGGCCCGGUCCGACCCGACAGGCUAAAGCCCGGCCCAAGCCCGCCGGGCCCAAGCUCGGCCCGAGCCCGUUUAUGGGUGGGCCGGGCCGCGAGCCCGUAGGCCUGCUCCUUUAAAAAAAAACUACAAAAAUAAAAAGUAUUAAAAAAAAUAUUCAUUUCAAAAUUUUAUUCAUUGAAUGUAUAAUUACAUUUGAAAAUGUGGGAAAAGUUUACAUCACUACAAAAUAAAUACAUCCCAACUAGGUUGGCACCUAUUUAUUUGUCAAUCAUCUGUAUUUUUCAACCACAAAAAAUAAAAAUAAAAAUAUAAUAUACAUUUAGUCAUUAUUUUCUGGCGGUGAUGGCGAACUAUCAUGCAUCCAUGAAGAUCUUGAUAAUUUUAAAGAUUCCAUAUCGGUAAGCAUCUUUGUUUCUCGAAUGGAAUCAUACAUCCUUUUAUCUGCUAUUUCCCAAUCUUUCACACAUAUCCCUGCUUUAAUAACAUCUGACGCUAAGUUGCAUCGUUUUUUACUAACUACUCUUCCACCUGCACUAAAAGCAGCUUCUGAUGCAACUGUACUCACAGGAACUGUUAGUACAUCACGAGCAAUUAUAGAAAGCACAGGAUAUUUGUGUUGAUGUGAUUUCCACCAUAUUAAAAUAUUAAAAUCUUCUUGAUCUUCAAAUGAAAUUAUAUCAGUAUUAAGAUAUUUAUCUAAAUCAGAUGUAUUAUUUGGAGAAUUAUUUGUUGUCUUUUUUCGACUUUUCAACAUUUCUAGAGCUCCUUUAUAAAAAGAUGAGGAGUUUGUAGAUGUAGGUGGUAAUUUAAUAGUAUUAAUAUCAUUACCAUAUUUUUCUUUAUAAUAGUUAUAUAAAUUAUAUAAUAAUGAAUUUAUUUCAUUUUUAAUUUCUUCAAUUUUUAUUUGGUCAUUAAAAUAAAUAAUUGUUAACCAUUCAUCCAAAGCUUCAAAUUUCAAUCUAGGGUCCACAAUUAAAGCAAUAUAAAAAAUUAAAGGUAUUUCUCCCCAAUAUUUUCUAAAUUUUUAUAUCAUUACAAAUAUUGUAUCAUUAAAUAUUUCAAAACUUAAAUAUUUUUGAAGUACAAUAAAAAUAUUAGUUAUUUGCGUAAUAACUCGAUUUGAAGUUGGAUAAUAUACACCACAAAAAAUGUUUGUUGAAGUAUCAAAAAUUUCAAAAAGAUCUCUUAAAACAUCCGCAAUAUGCCAAUCAUAAUCAUUUAAUGCAUAAAUAUCUGCUUCAUAAUCAUUGUUAAUUAAUUGUAUUUCAUAUAAUUCGACUACUUUUCUAUAUUUUGUAAUAUUUUCUAAAAGUUUAUAUGUGGAAUUCCAUCUAAUAGCCAUAUCCAAAUUUAUAUUUUUUCUUUUCAUAUUUAACAUUUUGCAACAAUCAAAAAAUAAUUCAUGUUUUGCUUGAAAACUAUUAAUACUAUAUGCAAUGCCUCUAAUUUUUUUCCAAUGUACUAUCAACAUUUUUUAAUCCAUCCUUUACAAUUAAAUUUAAAAUAUGUGCACAACAACGCACAUGAAAUAUUUUAGCAUGAUCUUCUUUUACUUGCCAAUAUCGUUUUAGUCUAUGUAUUGCUGCAUCAUUAUUAGCAGCAUUAUCUAAUGUUAUUGUCAAUAUUUUAUCACGAAUGCCUAAAUCUAUAAUUUCAUCAUUUAUUAAAGAUGCUAUAUUUUUACCACUAUGUGGAGUAUUUAUUAAUUUAAAUAAAAUUAUUCUUUUAUUUAAUUUCCAUUCAUUAUCAAUGUAGUGAACAAUUAUAUAUAAAAAACCAGUAUGAGUUAAAGAUGUCCAAAUGUCAGAUGUUAAACGAAUAUUUCCUUCAAAAUUUGCAAAAUUUUUUUUUAAAAUUUCUUUUUGUGUAUAAAUUUUUUUCAUAAUAUCUCUUUUAACUGUAUUUCCAGAUCAACCUUUAAAUUGAGGAUUAAUACCUCGUUGAAUUGUUCUUGCAAAAUCAUGAGUUUCCAUCAUGUUGAAAGGUUGUUCUGCUCUUAUUAUAUAAUCAAUCAUUUCUUCACAACAGUUAGAUUCAUCAUAAGAAAAUGUUUUUAAAUUUCCACUUUCAUUUUUACUUAAUUGCAUAUAAUUUCUAAUAUCUACAUUAUUUUUAGUUUUACAAUUUUCAUGAUGUCUUUUUAAAUGACUUGUAUCUGCAUUUGAGCCACCAGUAAGAAAUUUAUUACAAAUUUUACAUUUUGCUUUUAUUUUUUUUUUAUUAUUUUCUAAAAUUAUUUCUAUUCUAUCAAAAAAAUUCCAUAUAUUUAAAGUAAAUUUUUUGUUUGAUGAUAUUUCAUCACAUGGACUAGACGAAGAAGCACUUGUCAUAUUAUAAUUAUUGAUAAAAUAUUAUGCCAAAAAUAAUAAAGUAAUAAAUAUAAAAAAAAAUGUAACAAAAAAAAUAAAGUAGUAGGGGUGAAGUAUGUUACUCAAUUAGAGAACCUAUGCAGAAAUUCCUAGCAAAUUUGAACUCUUGGAGCCACCAAUGCUUGUUUUGCACCAUCAACAAUAUUGUAUAAUUUGAGGGAAAAAUAAAAGAAUUUAAAAUAUUGUAGAAUGUGAGAGAAAUAGAGAGAAUUUGAUGAAAAAAUGAAAAGGAAGAAAAUGUAUUUAUAGGAAGGUUAAAAAUAAUAAUAAUAAUAAUAAUAAUAAUAAUAAUAAUAAUAAUAAUAAUAAUAAUAAUAAUAAUUGGCCAUGUGACCGUUGGAGGCUUAGCUCCAACGGUCACAUGGGCUGGAGCUAGGCUCCAACAGUCACAUGACCGUUGGAGCCUUUAAUUUUUUUUUUUAAAAUAAUAUACUUUAUUUUUAUAUAUAUAUAACUAACUCAAUUAAUAAACAUAAAAAGAAUAUAGUUCAGUUGGUUAGAACCUUGAAGUUUAAACAUGAGGGGAGGGGUUUGAAUCCCUCCCUCUCCCUUAGGGGCUUUUUUAAAAGCCAUUUUGGCUUAUUUCAAAAAGCCUGUCGGCCCGACCCGCCCUGCAGCCCGCGGGCCUAGCAUUUUAGCAUGGCCUGGUCUGUUGACUAGUCAAAUGGCUCAUAGGCUCGGCCCGAACUGGGCCGCGGGCCUCUUAUUUACGGACCGGCCCGACCCGGCCCGCCCGUUGGAGACCCUUGAUAAUAUCUUCUAUAUUAAGUUACAUUAUAGUUUAUUUUACAAUAUUAUUAUGAUAAUAUGUCUAAUUUUAAAAUAUAUUUAAUAUUAAAAUUAUGAUCUAUUUUAAUUUAAAUGUAUUCAAUGAUAUCAAAUAAAUAAUAAUAUAUGUAUAAUUCUUUUAUUAUUUAUAUUUAUUAUUUUUAAUAAAUAUAUAGAUUAUAUAAAAAAGACCGGAUAUAUCUUUUCAAAUUUUGUAUCGCUCUCCAAGGAUAUUAGAUGUAUGGGAAUUUGUAUUGCUAUCUACGGAUACGUUGAUAUAUGGGUGAUUUAUCAGGAUAAUUAGAAAUUCUAAUUAUGUAAGCAGGUACGGAGUUCUGUGUCGGUGCGAUCUUGUCGACAACAGCUCCAAAUUGUGCAUCUUGCUCAUAGAGAGUAGCGGAAUGCACCAAUCGUAGGCUCAGAGUACCACUGAGUCGUCUGGCAGAGACCCAACUGAAGGUGCCUGUGUUGUUCCUGAUCUGAUCAGGCUUCAAACUACAAGGUGGAAUACUGGUUCCCCUAUAUCAGAAGCUGGAGAUACCCACCCCAUAUGCUCGUCUGGAUGUGCUCCUACCCUUUGAAGCCUUCUUCCGAGUCAAGUCCGAAUUGAUAAGGCUAGUGAGUUCCCAACCAACUGUACUCAGCAUGCUGCCAGGUGGAGACCCUCCAUAUUUGAUGGCUUCCUAAUAUUAAAAUGCUGACCACUGGUCUUCAUGUUCCACAGGCUUAAUUGUGUCCUUUGCUGAAAGAAUGGAUAGUGAUCCAUUUUAACACAUGAUUCACGCCGUCUUUGCCAUUCUUCAUGGUCUAGCCCUUUUAUAUAUAUGCUUCCUGAACUGUUGCUAUUAAUAAAAUGUGGUAUCUAUCCCGUACACCUUCCUGAUGGCCAGCGAAUGCAGAAGCUACAGAAACGGUUCCAUCUUUUGCUUCCGCCACUUUGGCAUCCUCCAUGAUGAGAUCGAAGGUGAAUAAUCAUAUUCUGGGGAUUUAUGUCCUGGAUAUUCUCAGUAAUGCCCAAUUUCCUGGUGCCGGCCUCAUUUCCAUGGGAACUGAUGGAUAACUUAAGGCUUCUACCAUCUGCGUGGUUCGCUUCUAACACAGGAAACUUCACGGCUAAAAGCAAGAUACCAAGAACAUCAAGGCUGUGACAAAAAUUAGUAUUUUUAACUUGUAGGAAUUUGAAAGGCAACCAACCAUCUAGCUCUGUUCUUAAAGCUCCCAUAGGAGGAUCAGAGGCUGGAUUGCUCAAGAUGAACUCAUCCAUUGUUGCACUUAAAAAGAAUUGGCAUGAAUUGUGGCCGCUCUAAUAGGUUCCCUAAACCAUCAUCCAAGUGGGCUUGCGGAAGGUAGCGAGUUUAAAACACCUAGGGCGAUGAACAGUGGACUGUGAUGCUCACAAAAGAGAAAAGGAAGAAUUCAAUAAUUCCUAAGAAUCCAUUUGCCUGUCAUCCAAAUUUUUAUAUUCUCUUCAGUCUGACGCGUUAUGCCAUAUAUUAAAAAUAGCGGCUUCUUCCAAGCCGAGACAGACUGUGCAAAGUUCGCAAGGCCAAUCAUCACCAUAAUCUGAAGUUGGCCUCCUCAAUCGCAGCUUGUAUCCGAAUGCUCACUUCACGGGAUGGAUUGUAAUGAAAACUAAUCUCAGUCCCAGCUAUGGCAGCAUCCUCACUUGACAGCAUUUUCUGCAUAUUCUAGAACAAAGCAAUAAACCCUCAAAGGCUCCUUCGGAUCAGAGUUAGAAGACUGUCCCUCAGGAACGUGAACACUAUGGUGGUUCUGAUAAGCAGUGAUAUUGCAUUAGAGCCUUUUGGAACAAGAGGAUCUUUUCAGGUGGAAACUGUAAACUGCUUCAUGUUGGGCUGCAACCUUUUCUUCAAGCAAUACUUUCUUUCUGUAUCACGACUUAUGUUGCUUCCGGAGCCAUCCCGUGUGGACUGCCCUUCAGUGAAAGAAUAUGUGUGUUGACAUGUUGGAUUGUAAUCUUUGUUCCACUCUAAUGGCUUUUGGUCCUCCUCUUUCUCUUUAUGACAGAGAACCAUUUAGUGAUCCAUCUCUAUAUUGUAGCAUUGCUGGUGCUUUGCAAUACUACACUCUCACCAAGCAUAACAUCUAUUUUUCCGUGACCAAAGUAUGUCGGUUUAUGCAUGCGCAAACUCUUAUUCAUUGGCAAGUUGUCAAGCGUAUCUCAUGAUUUCCCAAAGCCACAAGUUCUUAUGGUCUUUCUGUUCAAGCUUACAAUGAUCUAUCUUUUCUUGGUUAUACUGAUGUCGAUUGGGCUAGUUGCCCUGAUAACAAGCACAAUACUAGUGGGUACAACACUUUUCCUGGUCCUAAUCUCAUUUCAUGGGCAUUUUCAAAGCAGAAGGUUGUGUCUCACUCCAAUAACGAAUCUGAAUAUAGGGGACUCACUAAUUAAUGUUGUUGCCAAGGUCACUUGGAUUGAAUCUGUCUUACGUGAGUUGCGUGUUUCUCUACCCCAACCACCAAUUUUGUUGUGUGACAACAUUAGUGCUACACACUUGGACAAACCAUGUUGAAAUACACUAUCAUUUUAUCCAUGAAAGGCUUAUGCAUCACACACUCAAAAUUCAAUACACCUCUUCUAUAGACCAACUAGUCAAUGCUAUGACCAAAGCUCUUCCUUCAUCUCACUUGUACAAUCUUCAGUGCAAGCUGAUUGUUCUUCCCAAACCACUCAACUUGAGGGGAGAUGUUAAGCCAAUUUAAUAAAUUGAUUUCUUUUGGUUAAUUUGUUAGAAUCAUUUUUAUUAGAGGUUUGUUUGUACAAUUACAUCCAUUUAUCAGGAGAGUACACGUGUACAACUCCUCUUUUAAUCUCACCAUUGUAUAUAUAUGAUACACGACCUUACUCAGAAUUGCAUAACAUUUCCUCUGCUCAUUCCUUUUCUUCUUUGAAUUUUCCCUUACCUCACUGAUUUUGAUUUAUACCUGGUGUUUUCACCUUUGGUCUCUACCUUUCUAGCCAGUUUUCUAAUUAAUCCGUAUAUGGUAUACCUGUCAACUAAUGAGGAGAAAGAGAAAAGGGGAUUGCUGUUCCACCAGCUACAUAUAAUAAUUAAUUACAAUCAUGGUAAUGGAUCCUGAAAUCCAUCCUUUGUGGAUUUUGUACGGAAUAUUGUUGUUAUGUAUGUGGGCUCACUUAGAUGUAUAUUGCUAGCCUGUCUGGGAAAUGUGAUUGCAGGUCCAGAUUAUGAUGUUGAUAUUAGUGGGAUAAGCAAGAGAUGCAGUUAACACGUAUGUGAUGGACUUGAGUAACUUUUCCAUUUCAGUCCAUUUUUUAAGAUUAUGCUUAGUCUUAUUACAAGGAAAGACCAUAAGAAUCAUGAGUCAUUGGCAAGGUAAUAUCAUUCCCUCUUUACAGGCUUCUUCACCUUUUGGUUUUUUUAAUAUCCAUCAAGAUCUUUUAAUUGGAGGACAAUUACAAGUAUAUAUAUAUGUAUUAAAAGGGGAAAAUAUUAAAACAGGAAAUUUUAGGGAAAAUAUAAUAAUUAUUUCUUCCUUCUUUCCCAUAUAGAACUACACAAAAUAAAACUUUAAUAAUUUUUUCUUAUCUUUUUUAUUAUUAUUUUUUCUUAGAAACAUCCGUGGUCUCACAAGCUUGUAAUCCUAGAUUGUUAGGCUCCUUUAACAGUGCCCCAACAUCGUGGUCCAAUGACAAGCUUCCACGCCUUAAAAUCAGAAAAUGCCAUUAAACUUUAUCAGACAUUACAGUUCAAGACAAAGCUUUCAUUUGCUUAAUGUGAUAAUGAAAUUGUUAAUUUCAUUUCGUGGGCAUCUAAAUUUGGACGAGCAAGACCUCUGAAUUCCCUGUUUUUAUCACCAGCAGAGGAGAUAAAAUCUUAAUGGUGAGAAUCUCCACGUGAAAUUUAUGUGUACUGUCAACAUAUUUUUGUUUAUAUAGUCCAGUAGCUGCAGGAAGUCUAGAUUAUAUAGGUAGCAGUAGCACUAUUUAUAGCACUCGAUAUUCGCUGUAUGAAUACAUUAAACCUUGUUUUCAAUACGCAUCACAAGCAAGUACUAGAUACUACAAGGAGUGACAGUCGCAUCAACAUUUCUUGAUAAUAGCAGUGACUGAUUUAUACACAGAACAGUACUGUACACGUACCAGUCACCAGAGAUAGGAUCUUAUUCCUACAUACGACUCUUAUUGAUCGAAGUCACUCAGUUGGGGUAGCCUGGAGUUGGAGGUUUGUGUGGUGGCUUCUUCUUUGGAGGAGGCUUUAUCUUUGGAGGCAUCAUCUUUGGAGGCAUCUUGUGUGAGUCUUCUUCAGCAUUCUCUACAGGAGGAUGGCCAGGCUUAUGACCCUUAGGUGGUUUGCCAACUGGGAUUGGUGGCUUGUGUCCUGAGAGUGGCUCCUCUUCUUCGGGAGGUUUGCCAACUGACGUUGGUGGCCCGUGUCCUGGGGGUGGCUUGUGUUUUGGGGGUGGUUUCACUCCACCGGGAGGUUUACCAAUUGGUGUUGGUGGUUUGUGCUCAAUCGGUGGCCUCUCAACUGGGGGGCGCUUGGGGUAAUCAGCGAGUGAAGAAGUGGUGAGAACCACCACUCCAAGCAACAACACUAGCAAGUAUGUGGAAGACAUCUUUGAGUUUGGCUCAGAUG